UUGCACUAACUUUUGCGGAGUUCUUGAAGGGAGCGAAGCUAUCGGAAGUCCGUGAGAAUCGGACGCGGUCGCGCCGCUGUAACCGGCUACAAAGCCCCCAAGCCACUGUUGAGCUCACGCGAAACGGGAAGGCCGGGCCGAGGUCUGAAGCCGGAAGCCAGAAGACGGGCUUCUCUCCCAGUAACUCA
Molecule: non-coding RNA, 188 nt
Filed under: Lentisphaerota bacterium
Lineage: Bacteria; Pseudomonadati; Lentisphaerota
Source: RNAcentral